UGGGAUGUCGCCAAGCGGUAAGGCACAGGACUUUGACUCCUGCAUUCGUUGGUUCGAAUCCAGCCAUCCCAG
RNAcentral lists this transfer RNA (72 nucleotides) under Orenia metallireducens. Its description in RNAcentral is "tRNA_Gln_TTG". It matches the Rfam family "tRNA". From Rfam's summary of the family: Transfer RNA (tRNA) molecules are approximately 80 nucleotides in length. Their secondary structure includes four short double-helical elements and three loops (D, anti-codon, and T loops). Further hydrogen bonds mediate the characteristic L-shaped molecular structure. tRNAs have two regions of fundamental functional importance: the anti-codon, which is responsible for specific mRNA codon recognition, and the 3' end, to which the tRNAs corresponding amino acid is attached (by aminoacyl-tRNA synthetases). tRNAs cope with the degeneracy of the genetic code in two manners: having more than one tRNA (with a specific anti-codon) for a particular amino acid; and 'wobble' base-pairing, i.e. permitting non-standard base-pairing at the 3rd anti-codon position. The record is from RNAcentral. Lineage: Bacteria; Bacillati; Bacillota; Clostridia; Halanaerobiales; Halobacteroidaceae.